GACGAACGCUGGCGGCGUGCCUAAUACAUGCAAGUCGAACGCAGUGGGGACGGGUGAGUAACACGUGGGUAACCUCCCAUCAGAGGGGAUAACACUUGGAAACAGGUGCUAAACCGAUACUGAUGGAUGGACCCGCGGUUCAUUAGCGAGUUGGUGCGGUAACGGCUCACCAAGGCCACGAUGCAUAGCCGACCUGAGAGGGUGAUCAGACACCAUGGGACUUAGAUACGGCCCAGACGCCGACGGGAGGCAGCAGUAGGGAAUCGUCGGCCAUGGACGAAAGUCUGACCGAGCAAAGCCGAGUGAGUGAAGAAGGUUUUCGGAUCGUAAAACUCUGUUGUUAGAGAAGCGGUAUCUAACCAGAAAGCCACGGCUAACUACGUGCCAGCAGCCGCGGUAAGUC
Molecule: ribosomal RNA, 403 nt
Filed under: uncultured bacterium
Lineage: Bacteria
Description: partial 16S ribosomal RNA
Rfam family: Bacterial small subunit ribosomal RNA
Source: RNAcentral